This is a long non-coding RNA of Protopterus annectens (West African lungfish), 218 nucleotides long. RefSeq lists it as uncharacterized. Lineage: Eukaryota; Metazoa; Chordata; Ceratodontiformes; Protopteridae. The record is from RefSeq and is a predicted model, not a curated record. The transcript is spliced from 3 exons.
CACCGUUUUCAUUACAACAGAAUACCAGCAAAGAAGAUCUUCAUUUCUAUGAAUUACAUUCAGGCCAGUAGCACUGAAAACCUAUAAAACAUCUUCUACAAAUCAAGGAGGACCAUCACAACUAUGAAGUCAAUAUAUUUAGUCUUGCUUUUUGUUGUCAUCAUCUGGCGUAUGCCUACAGUUAACAGCAGGGCCAUCAAAAAUCAAGAAGUCUCAAA